Molecule: ribosomal RNA, 942 nt
Filed under: uncultured archaeon
Lineage: Archaea
Description: bacterial SSU rRNA
Rfam family: Archaeal small subunit ribosomal RNA
Source: RNAcentral
UUCCGGUUGAUCCUGCCGGACCCCACUGCUAUCGGGAUAGGACUAAGACAUGCUAGUCGCGUGCUUCAGCCAAAACGAGGCACGGCAAACAGCUCAGUAACACGUGGCUAAUCUGCCCUUAGGACGCGAACAACCCCGGGAAACUGGGGCUAAUUCUCGAUAGGUGAAGAACUCUGGAAUGAGUCUUUGCCUAAAAGAGCUUACGUUAUGCUCGUAAGUUUCGCCUAAGGAUGAGGCCGCGACCGAUCAGGUUGUUGGUGAGGUAAUGGCUCACCAAGCCUUUUACCGGUGCGGGCCGUGAGAGCGGGAGCCCGGAGAUGGGCACUGAGACAAGGGCCCAGGCCCUACGGGGCGCAGCAGUCGCGAAAACUUUGCAAUACACGAAAGUGUGACAGGGCUAUCCCGAGUGCCAUCCGCUGAGGAAGGCUUUUACCCAGUCUAGAACGCUGGGGGAAUAAGGAGAGGGCAAGUCUGGUGUCAGCCGCCGCGGUAAUACCAGCUCUCCGAGUGGUGUGGAUGUUUAUUGGGCCUAAAGCAUCCGUAGCUGGCUAGGUAAGUCCCCUGUUAAAUCCACCGAAUUAAUCGUUGGAUCGCGGGGGAUACUGCUUGGCUAGGGGACGAGAGAGGCAGACGGUAUUUUUGGGGUAGGGGUGAAAUCCUAUAAUCCCAGGAAGACCACCAGUGGCGAAGGCUGUCUGCUAGAACGCGCCCGACGGUGAGGGAUGAAAGCUGGGGGAGCGAACCGGAUUAGAUACCCGGGUAGUCCCAGCUGUAAACGAUGCAGACUAGGUGUUUGGACGGCCACGUGCCGUUCUAGUGCCGCAGGGAAGCUGUUAAGUCUGCCGCCUGGGGAGUACGAUCGCAAGAUUGAAACUUAAAGGAAUUGGCGGGGGAGCACCACAAGGGGUGAAGCUUGCGGUUUAAUUGGAUUCAACGCCGGAA